UUCCGACCCUGACUCAGGCGUGGCAGACUUGGAUCCCCACGGCGUAACCACGAAGGUAGUAUUUUUCCCAUUGGUUCAAUAUAAAAGCAGUAAAAAACAACAAAAAUAAAUAAUGAAUAAUCAAAGAUGCGAUUCACCUCUUUCGAUUUUAUUUCACUGUUUUUCUUUCAAUUUUUAGUAUUCUCCUCCCUUAUAUCUUUUUUACAAUCGGUUUAUAUAACCGAAAUAAAACAUCAAAAUAUCAAAAAAAAUCAAAAGAAUUCUUAUUUUCUCGUUAUUGUUGCGAUGAAUACUGAUGUUGGAUCCGCUUUUCUCGCAGGUACGACGAUCAUUGAGGAGCGAUUUGUGCGGAGUGGGUGAGCUGCGGCGGCUGGAGAGGGGAGGCUGCUAGGGUUUCUGUUUUUUUGUUUUUUGGGCUAGGUUUAGUUUGGGUCAAGUGUUGGGCCAUUCUAGGUUUAGUUGGGCCCGGGCAUUAUUGGGUUUGUACAGCUGCCCCUCUUUGCUCAUUGUCGUGUAAC
This 518-nucleotide long non-coding RNA is filed under the name Gossypium barbadense (sea-island cotton). RNAcentral's name for it is "long non-coding RNA (GBAR_LNC022486)". Lineage: Eukaryota; Viridiplantae; Streptophyta; Magnoliopsida; Malvales; Malvaceae. The record is from RNAcentral.